UACGUAGGGUGCAAGCGUUGUCCGGAAUUAUUGGGCGUAAAGAGCUCGUAGGCGGUCUGUCGCGUCGGCUGUGAAAACUCGGGGCUCAACCCCGAGCCUGCAGUCGAUACGGGCAGACUAGAGUGCUGUAGGGGAGACUGGAAUUCCUGGUGUAGCGGUGAAAUGCGCAGAUAUCAGGAGGAACACCAAUGGCGAAGGCAGCACUCUGGGACGUGACUGACGCUGAGACGCGAAAGCGUGGGGAGCAAACAGG
RNAcentral lists this ribosomal RNA (253 nucleotides) under uncultured bacterium. Its description in RNAcentral is "partial 16S ribosomal RNA". It matches the Rfam family "Bacterial small subunit ribosomal RNA", at positions 524 to 776 of the family's 1533-position model. The record is from RNAcentral.